AGCUCCAGGCCAGCAGUUCUGCACCUGCCUUGUUUCCAGCUGCACCCCCAGGGUUUGGCACCUAGGAGGCGUUCGUUCAUCAGCUACUUGUCAAGUUGAUGCCCCAGCUUCAAGACUUUCGGAGGUCAAAAGCCUCAGCACCAACAGAAGAGCCCCUGGAGCAGGGGAGGAAGGAAGCUUCCUUUGACCCGCUCUCUGCCCACCCUGCGGGUUGACCUUCACUAAGAAUGAACAUCAAGACAUCCAGAAACCAGAGGCCAGCCCCCAGGCCCAGGGAGCAUGCACACCGAGUCCCUGCCCUGAGCGUGUUUGACACGAAGAGUCACAGUUCUCAGCAGAACUGGCUUGCAGGAGUUCGAGGAAAAGCCACCUGGGCAGCUUCUCUCCAUCAUCCUUGGUCCUGGGCUGGAAAUCCCCUGGCCAGGCAGUGGACACCAUCCCCUUAGCCCACACAUCCACCAAGAGCUUCACUUUCUGUUUCCAUCCUUUCCAUUUAUUGAAGGGACAGAGCUGCAGAAACUGUCAGAGCUGGGAGAGGGAGGACUGGACACCUUUUCUCUGUUGGCUUCACUGUGGCAACUGAGACUAGGAGACGUUAAGCCACUGGCACAAGGGCACACAGCAGCAGCCAGCAGAGCAGGGAUUCGCCAGUUCUGUCUAACUCUGGAGCCUACUAUAGGCAUUUUUCCAGACAGCCUCCUUGCCAAGCCCAAGUCUGUUUUCUACUCUAAUCUGCUAACUCUUAAACUAGAUGCAUAUAAAUCUGGAAGGGUCCUGUUUAAGAAUCUCCAUAGACAGGAGCAGCAAACUCAAAUGAACGUAGGGGAUGCAGAAAAAUAUUUACAUCAGGUCUGCCAGGUGGUAGACAUGUGGGAGUGGUGGAGACUGUGGCAUGCAUUGGCAGAUUUCAAAACAUCACCACUGGGGUCAAGUAAAGCACUGUGCCACCAAGUCCAGCUCACUGCUGUGGUCUUAGAGGCUGCACUCUCCUUCCCUUGCAAACCAGAAGUCAAUAGCAGAGGGCCUGAGCAUUUCCACUUAUAACAGGACACUUCCAAAGCCCCCUACUGGGGUGCCAAGCCUGUGCUCAGCGUCCCACAGCUGGAGGCUCUUUCCCCCUAUGCUGCUUCCUUCGAAAGAAUUCAAGAUAAGCCUGGGCAAAAUAGUGACUCUGUCUCCCAAAAAAAAAAAAAAAAAAAAAAAAAAAG
Molecule: non-coding RNA, 1208 nt
Organism: Ictidomys tridecemlineatus (thirteen-lined ground squirrel)
Lineage: Eukaryota; Metazoa; Chordata; Mammalia; Rodentia; Sciuridae
Source: RefSeq, a predicted model, not a curated record